RNAcentral lists this ribosomal RNA (684 nucleotides) under Escherichia coli. Its description in RNAcentral is "partial 23S ribosomal RNA". It matches the Rfam family "Bacterial large subunit ribosomal RNA", at positions 2259 to 2925 of the family's 2925-position model. The record is from RNAcentral. Lineage: Bacteria; Pseudomonadati; Pseudomonadota; Gammaproteobacteria; Enterobacterales; Enterobacteriaceae.
UGGUGGGUAGUUUGACUGGGGCGGUCUCCUCCUAAAGAGUAACGGAGGAGCACGAAGGUUGGCUAAUCCUGGUCGGACAUCAGGAGGUUAGUGCAAUGGCAUAAGCCAGCUUGACUGCGAGCGUGACGGCGCGAGCAGGUGCGAAAGCAGGUCAUAGUGAUCCGGUGGUUCUGAAUGGAAGGGCCAUCGCUCAACGGAUAAAAGGUACUCCGGGGAUAACAGGCUGAUACCGCCCAAGAGUUCAUAUCGACGGCGGUGUUUGGCACCUCGAUGUCGGCUCAUCACAUCCUGGGGCUGAAGUAGGUCCCAAGGGUAUGGCUGUUCGCCAUUUAAAGUGGUACGCGAGCUGGGUUUAGAACGUCGUGAGACAGUUCGGUCCCUAUCUGCCGUGGGCGCUGGAGAAUUGAGGGGGGCUGCUCCUAGUACGAGAGGACCGGAGUGGACGCAUCACUGGUGUUCGGGUUGUCAUGCCAAUGGCACUGCCCGGUAGCUAAAUGCGGAAGAGAUAAGUGCUGAAAGCAUCUAAGCACGAAACUUGCCCCGAGAUGAGUUCUCCCUGACUCCUUGAGAGUCCUGAAGGAACGUUGAAGACGACGACGUUGAUAGGCCGGGUGUGUAAGCGCAGCGAUGCGUUGAGCUAACCGGUACUAAUGAACCGUGAGGCUUAACCUUACAACGCCGAAG